Molecule: ribosomal RNA, 237 nt
Filed under: uncultured bacterium
Lineage: Bacteria
Description: partial 16S ribosomal RNA
Rfam family: Bacterial small subunit ribosomal RNA
Source: RNAcentral
UGAGGAACAUGACCUUCGGCGGGGGAUAGCCGGCCCAACGGCCGGGUAAUACCGCGUACGACCAUUUGGGGACAUCCCUAGAUGGUGAAAGCAGCAAUGCGCCGAUGGAGUGCCUCGCGGCCUAUCAGCUAGUUGGUGAGGUAACGGCUCACCAAGGCAACGAUGCGUAGCCGACCUGAGGAGGGUNAUCCGGGCCAACAUUGGGAACUGAGACACGGUCCAGACUCCGUAGGGAGG